RNAcentral lists this ribosomal RNA (468 nucleotides) under uncultured bacterium. RNAcentral describes it as "partial 16S ribosomal RNA". It matches the Rfam family "Bacterial small subunit ribosomal RNA", at positions 28 to 507 of the family's 1533-position model. The record is from RNAcentral.
GACGAACGCUGGCGGCGUGCUUAACACAUGCAAGUCGAACGGACAGGCCCUGCUUUUGUGGGGUGCUCGAGUGGCGAACGGGUGAGUAACACGUGAGUAACCUGCCCUUGACUUUGGGAUAACUUCAGGAAACUGGGGCUAAUACCGGAUAGGAGCUCCUGCUGCAUGGUGGGGGUUGGAAAGUUUCGGCGGUUGGGGAUGGACUCGCGGCUUAUCAGCUUGUUGGUGGGGUAGUGGCUUACAAAGGCUUUGACGGGUAGCCGGCCUGAGAGGGUGACCGGCGUCAAUAGUACUGAGAGACGGCGCAGACGCCUACGGGAGGCAGCAGUGGGGAAUAUUGCACAAUGGGCGGAAGCCUGAUGCAGCAACGCCGCGUUCGGGAUGACGGCCUUCGGGUUGUAAACCGCUUUCGCCUGUGACGAAGCGGGAGUGACGGUAAUGGGUAAAGAAGCACCGGCUAACUACGUG